Molecule: small RNA, 1684 nt
Filed under: Rattus norvegicus (Norway rat)
Lineage: Eukaryota; Metazoa; Chordata; Mammalia; Rodentia; Muridae
Description: uncharacterized LOC108349469
Source: RNAcentral
CAGAGAAGAGAAAGAAAAAAGAUUCAUGCAUCUAUAGAACAUAUCGUGAUAGCCUGAUGCAUGUACAUAGUUUAAUAAAACAGAUCAGCGUGAUUAGUAUUUCUGUAUCUAAAUAUUUAUCAUUGGCAAUGUGGAUAGAAGUUGGGAAUCUGAGUUUCCCUUCACUCAUUAUUUAUAAAGUCUAGCGUAAGCUGUAACCUCGCGAUUCCACUGUGGAAUGCUGCCCUUCAUAAAAGUGACCUUGUGCUUCGAUUCUGAAAGUGUCUUUUAAGAUUAGGUUGGACGCUAAUUCUCAAGAAGGACGCUGUUCUCUCCAGGUUGGUGUUCAUUUUGUACCUCUCAAAUCUCAAGCCUCAUAGGUGAGUAAAGUAACUGAAGACAGAGUGUGCUUCAGAAAUGAAAACAGCUUGAUCUUGAGGAAGUCUGCAGUUUCAAGGAACAAAACAAACUUCAAUCAUUUUAGGAAGGGAAAGUCACCAAAACAAAUGCAAUCUGUGGUUUUAAAGGGAAAGGACUGGCAGGUGUAGAUGAAACCGAGCUCCCUUCCUCAGAGGGCAGCACACUGUCCUCGGGAGAGAUGCGGAGUUAGCCGUGGUGACGUGCUUCUUCCCGAGGGGCCAGGAAUGAGGGAGCAGCCUAACUGGUGUGGAAUGCUUUGGUUUUCUGGUUUUGUUUGUUUGUUUUGUUGUUUGUUUUUUGUCUCCUUAAAACUUCAGAAGGUAAACCGCAAGACUGAGGAAGCUAAGCAACGCGUUGCUUAAUCCACACGUCAGAGGCUCCGGAAGUGGCCCCAAGUCUUGCAGAUUCAACAAAACAGUCCCCUUUCACCCUUCCAAGGUUGCCCCCUUGGUUCCCCCUCCCCCUUGGAAGUCUUCUGUUGGCUUCUGAAGUUAUGACCCUAAAUCAGACUGCUCUGGUUGGGACGAUUGGUCGGAGCGUGAUGCUCUCCAGCUGGGGACCAGGCAAAGUAGAGUAGCAGGAUAAUUAGCCUUUUACAGGAAAGCCUGCUGACCCUUGAUAUCACUGCAUUCUCCGAAGGCUUUGGAACCAGGCCCUUGGCAAGCUAACUACAGACGAGAGAACUGUCCUCCACAGUGAACUCUCUUCUGAUCCCGCUUGAGCUUGGCACAUAGCCUUGCGUGCGACUUCUUAGACAGAACCUCGGAUCUUACCAUUUUCUAAGGAAAUUGGUGAGUAAAGAGGUUAUCAGUGGUUGUCAGUCUUCUCUGAGAGGAUGGACCAGAAAUGAAAGGAAAAUGCUUCAGACUGCAUGAAGAAGGAGGCUGCUUUGUGUAGGAAAGGGCUAGCCUGCAGUCCCAGGACUUUGAAAGCUCUGUCUCAAAGUGGCGUCUCAGGCAAGCUGGAGAUCAAGUUUUGAGGUUUUUUUUCAUUAUCAUGCAAGAGCACUUCUACUGCCUUCUGCCUCCAGCACAUUUUUACACUUAAAAGCAAAUUCAAAUUCUUUGAAGAUUAUAAAAAAGAGAAAGAAAGAAAAAAAAUCUUAAUGCUAAACAAAAUUUAGUCUCACUAGGAAAGUGGUUGAUAAAUAAUACACUCCUACUGCGAAUAUAUUUUCAUACUGUUAAAUAUUUAUUUAUUAAGAAGUAAUAUGUUUCUGAAUACAUCUCUUUUGAUAAUCUCCCCAGUAUGGGAAGUAUGCGCUCGUGUAUACACACACACACAC